UGUCCUGAUCUUCCGCGCUCGCACGUACGGUCACCUCCGGCCGGAGACGGAGCAGGCAGGAGAUCUCCGUGUCUCUCUGCGCCGCGACCGGGAGACCCUUUCUUCCACGUCCCCGUCGACGGAGAUCACGGGGGGGAGAGAGAGCUAUCAAUCGGAGAACUGGCGACGAAGGAAGCUCGAGCUGGUCGACGGUGGAGAAGAAGCGCGCCCACGGUCAAGCUAGGAAGUCUUGGUCCACCCGUCCUCACGUCCAGCUCGUUGGGCCCGCCGAUCCAAACAGGGCCUUGGCUACCUCCGAGUUGGGCUUUCCACUUUCACUGCACCGCCAUGCCUAGUCCAAUAUCUAUAAAUACUUGGGGGCCGGCGGGCUGAGAAGCGAGCCUUGGCCUGCCUUGGCGGCGGUGCUGACUUCAUGGGGAUCUUGUUUUUCUUCACACAAAGAAAAUCUCGACUUCUUUUUGGACAGACCGGCGUCUGUACGUGCAAAUUUAUCCAGCGAUUCCGCGGCUCGUGAUUGCAAAGCUUAAUAGGUACAUUGUAGAAUUAUCUUAACGACGUCUACAUCUAACAAUUGGAGUGAGAAGUGACAAGUUGAUCUUUUUUUUUUCUAAAAAGUUCAAGCAAAUAUAACCCACCCCAAAAGUUUAGCCAAAUUUAACCCUACUAAACUCUAUUCUCCACGCCAUGUACCUCCAUGCUUGGGAAACCACCUAGUGUUAUUUUUCAGCAAAACAAAUAUUCAUAAAACCA
Lolium perenne is the source of this 750-nucleotide long non-coding RNA. RefSeq lists it as uncharacterized. The record is from RefSeq and is a predicted model, not a curated record. Lineage: Eukaryota; Viridiplantae; Streptophyta; Magnoliopsida; Poales; Poaceae.